This is a long non-coding RNA of Dryobates pubescens (Downy woodpecker), 244 nucleotides long. RefSeq lists it as uncharacterized. The transcript is spliced from 3 exons. The record is from RefSeq and is a predicted model, not a curated record. NCBI's taxonomy places the organism in Eukaryota, Metazoa, Chordata, Aves, Piciformes, Picidae.
AUCUAGCCAACCCUGAGCCACUGAAGAGUGUCAAGCUGCCUGCGGUCGAUGCCCUGCUGAAGCGUGUGCGCCAGAAGCGCCUGGCUGUAGCUGCUAAAGCUGCUGUCUAGGACUGGAACUGCUGGUGACACCUCUGUCCUCUCCCCCUUCAGAGGAAAGAGGAGAUGAUCAUCCCUGGAUGUCCCCACCUGAUCUCCUGGGAGCCCUGGGCCGUGUCCCUCUCAUGAUCAAUAAACCCCCUCAG